This is a long non-coding RNA of Oxyura jamaicensis (ruddy duck), 615 nucleotides long. RefSeq lists it as uncharacterized. The transcript has 2 exons. Lineage: Eukaryota; Metazoa; Chordata; Aves; Anseriformes; Anatidae. The record is from RefSeq and is a predicted model, not a curated record.
CCAAAAAAAGAGCCUGCACAGCUUGGGAGAGGUACUGCUGCUGGUGCUCCUGAUUGGGACACAUAUGCAGGGAAGGAACAGAAAUAUUAACAGAAAACCAUUCCUCACAGUGAUUUCAAUACUUUAUGUCGUCCUGGGAAAAGAUAUAUAAACAUGAAAAAAAAUGCUGGAGGCAAGAAACAAAGCAGCUUUGGAAGACAGUUGUUAUUCAUGGGCAGGUUGUGUAGCAGCGUCAAUGUGCUUCAUUCUCUGCAAGACAAAAGGUUUAAAUAGUCCUUUCUCAAAAUAUAUCACCAGUAUAAAAGUCAAGAUGUUGGAUCUAAUUCAGUUUUCAUUCAUUGUAUCCCAGUUGAAACAACUUUUGGAAAUUUAGUGUGAGAACAGUUUCCAAAAAUAGGUAUGAAAUUAAAGUAUUGAUGAUGGAGAAGACAGCAUCCAUGGAAAAAAGGUCAGGUGGCCACAGUGCUCUCCCUUCUCUUCUAUGCUUCAGAAAACUUUGGAUUUUGCAGAGUUUUGAGUGAAAAUUGAAUUCUCUUGAAUUAUUCAUUAUGUUUUCUUUGGGUCACCUUUCCCUAUAUAUUAUGCCAGCAAAAUAAACAAGUACAAGGAACCAUA